This 267-nucleotide unclassified non-coding RNA is filed under the name Glomeraceae sp. Its description in RNAcentral is "partial contains 5.8S ribosomal RNA and internal transcribed spacer 2". The stretch from base 1 to 65 matches the Rfam family "5.8S ribosomal RNA", at positions 84 to 154 of the family's 154-position model. The record is from RNAcentral. Lineage: Eukaryota; Fungi; Glomeromycota; Glomeromycetes; Glomerales; Glomeraceae.
GUGAAUCAUCAAAUCUUUGAACGCAAAUUGCACUCUCUUCGGAGAGUAUGCCUGUUUGAGGGCCAGCCUAUAAAAAAUCGACAUCGUUGCUGUUUCGCGGUGGCGUUCGCCGGAAAUUGGGCCAUCUUAAACCUCUUGGUUUUUAGCGACUUAAAAUUUUCUUUUUGGUUCGCUGAACGUCUCUAAGAUUUAUUUCUUUAGACGUCUAAGGUAUGGAUUUUUAUUAGAUGUGACCAUCAUAUCGGAUCGUGUCCAUAAUUUUUUAUU